Molecule: ribosomal RNA, 252 nt
Filed under: uncultured Bacteroidales bacterium
Lineage: Bacteria; Pseudomonadati; Bacteroidota; Bacteroidia; Bacteroidales
Description: partial 16S ribosomal RNA
Rfam family: Bacterial small subunit ribosomal RNA
Source: RNAcentral
UACGGAGGAUGCGAGCGUUAUCCGGAUUUAUUGGGUUUAAAGGGUGCGUAGGCGGGCUUUUAAGUCAGCGGUAAAAAUUCGGGGCUCAACCCCGUCCGGCCGUUGAAACUGGGGGCCUUGAGUGCGGCGGAGGCAUGCGGAAUGCGCGGUGUAGCGGUGAAAUGCAUAGAUAUCGCGCAGAACCCCGAUUGCGAAGGCAGCGUGCCGUGCCGCCACUGACGCUGAGGCACGAAAGCGCGGGGAUCGAACAGG